CCUACGGGUGGCAGCAGUGAGGAAUAUUGGUCAAUGGACGAGAGUCUGAACCAGCCAAGUAGCGUGAAGGAUGACUGCCCUAUGGGUUGUAAACUUCUUUUAUCAAGGCAUAAAACGACCCACGUGUGCAUUUUUGCAUGUACUUUAUGAAUAAGGAUCGGCUAACUCCGUGCCAGCAGCCGCGGUAAUACGGAGGAUCCGAGCGUUAUCCGGAUUUAUUGGGUUUAAAGGGAGCGUAGAUGGGUUGUUAAGUCAGUUGUGAAAGUUUGCGGCUCAACCGUAAAAUUGCAAUUGAUACUGGCAGUCUUGAGUACAGUUGAGGUAGGCGGAAUUCAUGGUGUAGCGGUGAAAUGCUUAGAUAUCACGAAGAACACCGAUUGCGAAGGCAGCUUACUAAACUAUGACUGACAUUGAUGCUCGAAAGUGUGGGGAUCAAACAGGAUUAGAUACCCCAGUAGUC
RNAcentral lists this ribosomal RNA (460 nucleotides) under uncultured bacterium. RNAcentral describes it as "partial 16S ribosomal RNA". It matches the Rfam family "Bacterial small subunit ribosomal RNA", at positions 338 to 795 of the family's 1533-position model. The record is from RNAcentral.